Molecule: ribosomal RNA, 237 nt
Filed under: Isostichopus fuscus
Lineage: Eukaryota; Metazoa; Echinodermata; Holothuroidea; Aspidochirotida; Stichopodidae
Description: partial 16S ribosomal RNA
Rfam family: Bacterial large subunit ribosomal RNA
Source: RNAcentral
CUUUGGUUGGGGCAACCAUGGAGUAAAAGCAGCCUCCAGUUUUUCAGGUAGAAAACCAUUCUCCUAAAUACACAACCUCAAGAACCAAAAAUUUUGGAAAACGGAAAAAGUUACCGCAGGGAUAACAGCGUUAUCUUUUCUGAGAGCCCUUAUUGACGAAAAGGAUUGCGACCUCGAUGUUGGAUUGGGGUAACCAGAGGGUGCAGCAGCUCUCUAAGGUUGGACUGUUCGUCCAUU